RNAcentral lists this ribosomal RNA (465 nucleotides) under uncultured bacterium. RNAcentral's name for it is "bacterial SSU rRNA". It matches the Rfam family "Bacterial small subunit ribosomal RNA", at positions 198 to 644 of the family's 1533-position model. The record is from RNAcentral.
GGAGGAAAGCAGGGGAUCGCAAGACCUUGCGCUAUUGGAGCGGCCGAUGCCUGAUUAGCUUGUUGGUGAGGUAAAAGCUCACCAAGGCUUCGAUCAGUAGCUGGUCUGAGAGGACGACCAGCCACACUGGGACUGAGACACGGCCCAGACUCCUACGGGAGGCAGCAGUGGGGAAUUUUGGACAAUGGGGGAAACCCUGAUCCAGCCAUGCCGCGUGAGUGAAGAAGGCCUUCGGGUUGUAAAGCUCUUUCAGCCGGAACGAAACGGUUACGGUUAAUACCCGUGACUACUGACGGUACCGGAAGAAGAAGCACCGGCUAACUACGUGCCAGCAGCCGCGGUAAUACGUAGGGUGCGAGCGUUAAUCGGAAUUACUGGGCGUAAAGCGUGCGCAGGCGGUUUUGUAAGUCAGAUGUGAAAUCCCCGGGCUUAACCUGGGAACUGCGUUUGAAACUACAAAGCUAG